GGGGUAAAAUUAAUAAAUUAAUUUUAAUAAAAAAAUUUUUAAUAAAAUAUUUUAAAGGGGGGGUUAAAGUAUAUUUAUAGAAAAAAUAAAUUAAUUUAUAGUUAAAUAGUAUUGUAAAAGAAUUUUGAAAUAAUUGAAAAUUAAAUUUUUUUAAAAGUAAUUUUUAUUUAAUGUAUCUUGGGUAUCAGAGUUUAUUAAAAAAAAUUAUUAAAUAAAAAAAUUCUCGAAUUUAAAAGAGAUAAUUAAUUAAUAAAGUUAUUGUAGCAUAAAUAUUUUAAAUAAUUAAUUGGAAAUGAAAUGUUAAUCGUUUUUAAAUAUAUCUAGUUUUUUUAGAAAAAAAUUUAAUUUUAUAUUAUUUAAAAAAAAAAUUAAUUAAUUAAUUUUUUUUUUAAAUAAUAAUAUAUUUUAAGGGAUAAGCUUUAAUUUAAAUUUAUAUAAAUAAAUUGAAAAAUUAAAUUGAAAAUUUUAUAAUUUAUAUUGUUAAAAAAAUUUAAUUUAUUAUAAAUAAUUUCAUUUAAAAUAAAAUUUAAUAAAAUUUUAUAUGGUUUAUAAAAAAAAAUUUUUUAAUAAAAUAAAAUUUGAUAUAAUGAUAAAAUUAGUAUAUAAUAAAAUAUAUAAAUGAAUAAUUUAGUAUAAAUAAUUAAUUAAAAGGAAUUCGGCAAAAAUUUAUAUUCACUUGUUUAUCAAAAACAUGUCUUUUUGAAAAUAAUAUAAAGUCUAAUCUGCCCACUGAUAUAAUAUUAAAGGGCUGCAGUAUAUUGACUGUACAAAGGUAGCAUAAUCAUUAGUCAUUUAAUUGAUGACUUGUAUGAAAGAUUGGAUGAAAUAUAAACUGUCUCUUAAUUAAAUAUAGAAUUUAAUUUUUAAAUUAAAAAGUUUAAAUAAUUUAAAAAGACGAGAAGACCCUAUAGAGUUUUAUAAAUUUAAUGAUUAAGAUUAUUUAUUAAAAAAAAAAUUAAAAUUAAUAAAUUUAUUUUGUUGGGGUGACAAAAAAAUAUAAAAAACUUUUUUUAAAAUAAAACAUAUAUAAAUGAUUAAAUGAUCCAUUAUUAUUGAUUAUAAGAAAAAAUUACCUUAGGGAUAACAGCGUAAUUUUUUUUUUUAGUUCUUAUAAAAAGAAAAGUUUGCGACCUCGAUGUUGGAUUAAGAUAAAAUUUAAAUGCAGUAGUUUAAAAUUUUUGAUCUGUUCGAUCAUUAAAAUCUUACAUGAUCUGAGUUCAAACCGGUGUAAGCCAGGUUGGUUUCUAUCUUUUAAAAAAUAAAAUAUUUUAGUACGAAAGGAUUAAAUAUUUAAAUUAAAUUUUUUAUUUUGAAUUUUAUUAAAGAUAAUUUAUAAAUUUAUAAUAAAUAAAUUAUAUAUAUAUAUAUAUAUAUUUAUAUAUUU
Molecule: ribosomal RNA, 1384 nt
Filed under: Athetis lepigone
Lineage: Eukaryota; Metazoa; Arthropoda; Insecta; Lepidoptera; Noctuidae
Description: 16S ribosomal RNA
Source: RNAcentral